GACGAACCGUGCAAACGUUGUUCGGAAUCACUGGGCUUAAAGGGUGCGUAGGCGGGUGAUCAAGUCAGGGGUGAAAUCCUCCAGCUCAACUGGAGAACAGCUUUUGAUACUGGUCAUCUUGAGGGGGGUAGGGGCAUGUGGAACUUCCGGUGGAGCGGUGAAAUGCGUAGAUAUCGGAAGGAACGCCGGUGGCGAAAGCGACGUGCUGGACCCCUUCUGACGCUGAGGCACGAAAGCCAGGGGAGCAAACGGG
This 253-nucleotide ribosomal RNA is filed under the name uncultured bacterium. Its description in RNAcentral is "partial 16S ribosomal RNA". It matches the Rfam family "Bacterial small subunit ribosomal RNA", at positions 524 to 776 of the family's 1533-position model. The record is from RNAcentral.